Molecule: ribosomal RNA, 443 nt
Filed under: uncultured bacterium
Lineage: Bacteria
Description: partial 16S ribosomal RNA
Rfam family: Bacterial small subunit ribosomal RNA
Source: RNAcentral
CCUACGGGUGGCAGCAGUGGGGAAUAUUGGGCAAUGGGCGCAAGCCUGACCCAGCAACGCCGCGUGAAGGAAGAAGGCUUUCGGGUUGUAAACUUCUUUUCUAAGGGACGAAGAAAGUGACGGUACCUUAGGAAUAAGCUCCGGCUAACUACGUGCCAGCAGCCGCGGUAAUAUGUAGGGAGCGAGCGUUAUCCGGAUUUACUGGGUGUAAAGGGCGUGUAGGCGGGAUGGCAAGUCAGGCGUGAAAACUAUGGGCUCAACCCAUAGCCUGCGUUUGAAACUGUCGUUCUUGAGUGAUGGAGAGGCAAGCGGAAUUCCGUGUGUAGCGGUGAAAUGCGUAGAUAUACGGAGGAACACCAGUGGCGAAGGCGGCUCUCUGGUCUGCAACUGACGCUGAGGCUCGAAAGCAUGGGUAGCGAACAGGAUUAGAUACCCGAGUAGUC